Long non-coding RNA from Prosopis cineraria, 1065 nucleotides. RefSeq lists it as uncharacterized. The transcript is spliced from 2 exons. Lineage: Eukaryota; Viridiplantae; Streptophyta; Magnoliopsida; Fabales; Fabaceae. The record is from RefSeq and is a predicted model, not a curated record.
CAGACCUAUUUGAACAGUCUGAAUAAUAAAAAAUUUUUUUUUUUGAAUUUAAAAUUAAAUUUUUUGAGUGAAUUCAGACUAACUCAUUAAAUUUAAUUUAAAUUACCGGCUUUACUUUUGAUCACGGUCGCUUUGGCUUUAUUUAACAUGCUGGCAGCCAUCAUGAGACAUUAAAAAAAAAAAAAAGUUUACGUAAGCUUUCUUGCUUCUUUCUCUUCUUGCUCUUCGAUGAUCUCAGCUCCCUAGCUCUCCCUAAGCUCUUCCACCACCGGAUUGCCCAAAGGGGUUGCACUUUACCUGCUCAUCUUCCGCCACAGUAGUCAACCUGCCGCACAGCUUCACCACUGCAUCCAUGCUACUUCAAUCUUCUCUAGGCUUAAAACCUGGUUCCCACAUUCCACAUACCCUGUUAUCUCUGAUCCAAAUGAACGAAGCCACAGAACGAUCUCCCACCUCACCUAUCGGCUGCAGAUGAGGGUGCCCAUGAAACCCCCUUACCGCCGCUACAGAUUCUCCUACCAUGGAGAGUAUGAAAACCAAGACGCCACUUCGAUAGAUCCCUAAGUGGCACGUUGCCAUACAGAGAGUUGAAUCGCUAAACUAUGCCAAUUCUUCACGGAGUUUUCCUCUUCUUCGGCGUAAGUGGCCACCGGCGAGUUUGGAGGAGGAACGGUGGCGAAGUGGCCACUGGAGAUUGGAGCAGAAGCGACGGAGGGUCUUGUUGAAGAGUUUGAUCAUAGCGGUGAAGUGGGUAUGUGAUGGAAUUGGAUCGCGGUGAGAUGCGAGCAUGGGACAGAGGGUUGUGGUCUGUGAGUUGAAGUUGCAGAGUUGUUUUCAACUUUGCCUUGCGUUUCUGUUUGGAAUGAAGUUCUGAGGAAUUUUGAGUUUGACUUUUCUUGCUGAUUGUGUUUCUGAUCUUUUCCCCGCUAUUGGUCGAGAAAAAUUAUUGCAUACCGCAGCUAUAGGAGAAAAAAGUACUUUGUUGACCCAUUCCUUUUUGGAUUCGUGCUUCUUUGUAUCAUUCUAAUCUUCAUUAUUGAAUGAAGUUAUGACUGAGAGAAACAA